This 914-nucleotide ribosomal RNA is filed under the name uncultured crenarchaeote. RNAcentral's name for it is "bacterial SSU rRNA". It matches the Rfam family "Archaeal small subunit ribosomal RNA", at positions 1 to 922 of the family's 1478-position model. Lineage: Archaea; Thermoproteati; Thermoproteota. The record is from RNAcentral.
UUCCGGUUGAUCCUGCCGGACCUGACUGCUAUCGGAUUGAUACUAAGCCAUGCGAGUCAUCGUAGCAAUACAAGGCAGACGGCUCAGUAACGCGUAGUCAACCUAACCUAUGGACGGGAAUAACCUCGGGAAACUGAGAAUAAUGCCCGAUAGAACACUAUACCUGGAAUGGUUUGUGUUCCAAAUGAUUUAUCGCCGUAGGAUGGGACUGCGGCCUAUCAGUUUGUUGGUGAGGUAAUGGCCCACCAAGACUAUUACAGGUACGGGCUCUGAGAGGAGUAGCCCGGAGAUGGGUACUGAGACACGGACCCAGGCCCUAUGGGGCGCAGCAGGCGAGAAAACUUUGCAAUGUGCGAAAGCACGACAAGGUUAAUCCGAGUGAUUUGUGCUAAACGAAUCUUUUGUUAGUCCUAGAACCACUAACGAGUAAGGGGUGGGCAAGUUCUGGUGUCAGCCGCCGCGGUAAAACCAGCACCUCAAGUGGUCAGGAUGAUUAUUGGGCCUAAAGCAUCCGUAGCCGGCUCUGUAAGUUUUCGGUUAGAUCUGUACGCUUAACGUACAGGCUGCCGGGAAUACUGCAGAGCUAGGGAGUGGGAGAGGUAGACGGUACUCGGUAGGAAGGGGUAAAAUCCUUUGAUCUAUUGAUGACCACCUGUGGCGAAGGCGGUCUACCAGAACACGUCCGACGGUGAGGGAUGAAAGCUGGGGGAGCAAACCGGAUUAGAUACCCGGGUAGUCCCAGCUGUAAACUAUGCGAACUCAGUGAUGCAUUGACUUGUGGUCAAUGCAGUGCUGCAGGGAAGCCGUUAAGUUUGCCGCCUGGGAAGUACGUACGCAAGUAUGAAACUUAAAGGAAUUGGCGGGGGAGCACCACAAGGGGUGAAGCCUGCGGUUCAAUUGGAUUCAACGCCGGA